UCCACCUCGCCGGUGCACUGUCCCGUCAGGCGGCCGCUCAGGGACGGGCCCACGCCCCACAACCUGCUGACGGACGGGAUCGAAACCCUCUCUCCGGCGUGUUUAACCUGCAGUUCUGUCCUCCCGUCCACCUCGCCGGAGCGCCGCCUUGGUUCGGGAGAGAGUCCAGUACGAGUGGAACACAGUAGGAUUCCCCCAACCCAUGUUUGACCUAGGAGGUGCCCGGAGGUCAAGGCUGGAUGCGCCUACUUCAGAGAAGACACAAGUCGAGUUCCACACUGAUCGCCAUGAGUGAGACGUCCGGGUUGUCUGUGUGUAGAAUCUCAAGGACUUCCCAGAAGAAGAUCAAGGUGCUCGAGCAGAGGCACCAGAACUUCUACCCGCCAGCGUCGUGCAUCACGCCUUCCAUCACAUGAUGGCUAGGUCACAUUUGAAUUAGCAAAUUUGACAGAUAGAAGCAAUUGGCUUUGCCUGCUGAAGCAUACUCUCCAUUUGAUAGUAGCAGUCUUUUCUUUCUUUGCAAACAAAUCCUAUUUUAUCAAACAUGUGUUAUUUUUACUGGAAAUAUUUUCUCUUAGAUGGAAGCAAGAUAAUAUUUAGUUGUAAGCAAUUCUCUAGUCGAUGUAAACAAGAUGUGUGAGGCUUUUCAAACAUGUGGAAUAAUUUCCUUUUUGA
This is a long non-coding RNA of Triticum dicoccoides, 675 nucleotides long. RefSeq lists it as uncharacterized. The record is from RefSeq and is a predicted model, not a curated record. NCBI's taxonomy places the organism in Eukaryota, Viridiplantae, Streptophyta, Magnoliopsida, Poales, Poaceae. The transcript has 2 exons.